Molecule: long non-coding RNA, 832 nt
Organism: Metopolophium dirhodum (rose-grain aphid)
Lineage: Eukaryota; Metazoa; Arthropoda; Insecta; Hemiptera; Aphididae
Exons: 5
Source: RefSeq, a predicted model, not a curated record
CCUACUUAAUAAUCUCGAAUAAUAAUAUUUACUUACAUUUUGCUACGCCGAUUCGCUUUUUCGUCUCUGAGAUGACACAUCAGCUCGCUAGGGUGAGAAUUCGCUCAGUAUUACGCUUCGGCGUGUGCAGCAGGGUGCGUUCCACUCUAUUUUCGUUACAUGUGACGUGUGUAGUGCACGAUCGAGAAACGAUCAGUCAAUGUCGGUCGGUCGUAGAACUUCAGAACGUUUCCUGACGAACGUUUCUUAGAUGCGUCGUAGACAAUCACCCCGAAACGGCAUUAGUAGUUUAUGAUACGGAUCUUAACAUAAUGUAGCAAAAAGGAUAUUGUAAAAUUAUGCAAAGUGGAAUUAUCAAUUUUUUUUAACAAACAGUGGAUCCUAUAUUUAUAAUGUGUUUGCUGAUGGAGAUGUAACAAAAGGGGAAAGAGGAAGAUACAUUGCUGUUAGUUCUACUUUUGAUCCUCUUAACCAUACAGUAUACAUUGGUAUAAUUCCUGUAAGAACUACUUCAGUAUACAGUCGUAGAAAUCGAAUACUUAAAAUAUGUUUUGGACCUUCUAUAUUAUUAACAACUUCUAAAUCUGGGUCAACAUCAACAGAUACUUCUCUUUUGUAGAACAUUAUUUUAAUGCUGUAAUUCUGGUGAUCGUCUUCUGCCCUAAAUCUCGUUCCAUCAUACAAACAUGCUUCCGCUUAUGUUUUGCAUAGGAUUCAACCCUGUCAUCCUAAUAUUGUAAAUAAUAUAACGCUUAAUAAAACAUUAAAAUGUAAGCUUUUGAGAUCAUCAAACAGUGUUUAAUUUGUAUGUUAAUGUUAUAAGUACCAUAUA